GGAUGUGAGGGCAAUCUGGCUAUGACAUCUGUCACCCCAUUGAUCGCCAGGGCUGAUUCGGCUGAUCUGGCUGGCUGGGCGGGUGUCCCCUUCCUCCCUCAGGGCUCCAUGUGCAUCCCUCCCGAAGCUGCGCGCUGGUCAAAGAGGACAGCCUUCCCCGAAUAGAGACAGACCGACCAGCCUUUAGUAGCUGCGCUCCCUUGCUAGAACCUCCAAACAAGCUCUAUGAUAACCCUUUCACCAAAGGGUACAACUUGGUGUUACUUGGAGAGCCACAUUCUGGGGAUUCAUUGAUGGAUGUUUCCUUUAGAA
Erinaceus europaeus (western European hedgehog) is the source of this 312-nucleotide unclassified non-coding RNA. Its record names the gene 7SK. It matches the Rfam family "7SK RNA". Rfam says of the family: 7SK was discovered as an abundant small nuclear RNA in the mid-70s but a possible function has only recently been suggested. Two independent studies have found that 7SK RNA binds the CDK9/cyclin T complex (known as elongation factor P-TEFb). P-TEFb activates transcription by phosphorylating the C-terminal domain of RNA polymerase II. The record is from Ensembl. Lineage: Eukaryota; Metazoa; Chordata; Mammalia; Eulipotyphla; Erinaceidae.